ACGGGAGGCAGCAGUGGGGAAUAUUGCACAAUGGGGGAAACCCUGAUGCAGCGACGCCGCGUGAGUGAAGAAGUAUUUCGGUAUGUAAAGCUCUAUCAGCAGGGAAGAUAAUGACGGUACCUGACUAAGAAGCACCGGCUAAAUACGUGCCAGCAGCCGCGGUAAUACGUAUGGUGCAAGCGUUAUCCGGAUUUACUGGGUGUAAAGGGAGCGUAGACGGCAAUGCAAGUCUGAUGUGAAAUCUCCGGGCUCAACCCGGAAACUGCAUUGGAAACUGUAUAGCUAGAGUGCAGGAGAGGUAAGCGGAAUUCCUAGUGUAGCGGUGAAAUGCGUAGAUAUUAGGAGGAACACCAGUGGCGAAGGCGGCUUACUGGACUGUAACUGACGUUGAGGCUCGAAAGCGUGGGGAGCAAACAGGAUUAGAUACCCUGGUA
Molecule: ribosomal RNA, 434 nt
Filed under: uncultured Lachnospiraceae bacterium
Lineage: Bacteria; Bacillati; Bacillota; Clostridia; Lachnospirales; Lachnospiraceae
Description: partial 16S ribosomal RNA
Rfam family: Bacterial small subunit ribosomal RNA
Source: RNAcentral